Non-coding RNA from Megalobrama amblycephala (Wuchang bream), 943 nucleotides. Lineage: Eukaryota; Metazoa; Chordata; Actinopteri; Cypriniformes; Xenocyprididae. The record is from the annotation of a RefSeq genome assembly.
GCUUUCAUCAGGUUAUAAAGUCUGUUGGUCAGUAAAGUUCAGUUUUGAGCUUGUUUUGACCCAGUGUUACUGUUGUCUCAGAGGAGCAAUUGGAGUUUUCAGACACUGAUUGAGCAACACUAAUAAUUAUUAAGAAAUAUAAAAUUAACUUACACCUGUUUCCACAUGAGAAUAUUUUUUUUAUUCUCUUUUCUGUUGAUUCAGUUAUCAAGCAGCAUGAAUAAAUAUCAUGUUAUCUAGUUGACUGCAAACAGCAUGAGCAUGUGUGAUCAACAAACAAAAAAUAAAAUGCAGAAAAACUUUUCUUAUUGUGUAUUGUGACAUUAACAGUGAACAGAAAGGUACAUAUUCACAUUCACGUCAUACUGUUCUUAAAUAGUUUAGUCCUUCAGGCAUGAUUGUAUCUUGUGACCCUCCAAUGCAAAUCAAACACUCCUGUAUGUUUGUUCAGUAUUUAUGUGCUUCUGAUUGGAUCUGGAGCGUUACAUCACCACUUUCAAGAUGAAGAGUUCACUCUGCUUACUGCUGCUCUCAUUCAGCGUACACCGUUUAAAAUGUCAAAGUAUGGAGUCCAUUGAAAGCACAGUUGAGAAAAAGCCUGGAGAAACUCUGACUCUGUCCUGUAGAGGAUCCGGGUUCAGCUUUAGCUGCUGUAGCAUGCACUGGAUCAGACAACAAGCUGGAAAACCUCUCGUGUGGAUUGGACGUGUUUAUAGUGAUGGCAGCGGCCAUGACUACGCUGAAGCCUUCAACAGACGAACUGAAAUCACCAGAGAUAAUUCAAAGAAUAUGGUAUAUCUGAAACUGUCGGGCCUGACAACAGAAGACUCAGCCACAUAUUACUGUGAAAAACAAACACAGUGACACAAAGUUCUUGCACGGCUGAACAAAAACCACUUGAAUGUUUCAUCUCUUGUCACUAGAGUUCAACAGGUGGCAGCAG